GGUUGUGGCUCAGUGGUAGAGUGCUUGCCUAGCAUGCACAAAGCACAGGGUUCAAUCCCCAGAACCA
Molecule: transfer RNA, 67 nt
Filed under: Marmota monax (woodchuck)
Lineage: Eukaryota; Metazoa; Chordata; Mammalia; Rodentia; Sciuridae
Description: tRNA.Ala
Source: RNAcentral